GUCGAACGGGGAUAUUUCAUUGAAGCUUCGGCAGAUUUGGCUUAAUCCUAGUGGCGGACGGGUGAGUAACGCGUGGGUAACCUGCCUUAUACAGGGGGAUAACAGUCAGAAAUGGCUGCUAAUACCGCAUAAGCGCACAGGGCCGCAUGGCCCGGUGUGAAAAACUGAGGUGGUAUAAGAUGGACCCGCGUUGGAUUAGCCAGUUGGCAGGGUAACGGCCUACCAAAGCGACGAUCCAUAGCCGGCCUGAGAGGGUGAACGGCCACAUUGGGACUGAGACACGGCCCAGACUCCUACGGGAGGCAGCAGUGGGGAAUAUUGCACAAUGGGGGAAACCCUGAUGCAGCGACGCCGCGUGAAGGAAGAAGUAUCUCGGUAUGUAAACUUCUAUCAGCAGGGAAGAAAAUGACGGUACCUGACUAAGAAGCCCCGGCUAACUACGUGCCAGCAGCCGCGGUAAUACGUAGGGGGCAAGCGUUAUCCGGAUUUACUGGGUGUAAAGGGAGCGUAGACGGCAUAACAAGUCUGAUGUGAAAGGCUGGGGCUUAACCCCGGGACUGCAUUGGAAACUGUUAAGCUUGAGUGCCGGAGGGGUAAGCGGAAUUCCUAGUGUAGCGGUGAUAUGCGUAGAUAUUAGGAGGACACCAGUGGCGAAGCGGCUUACUGGACG
This 670-nucleotide ribosomal RNA is filed under the name uncultured Lachnospiraceae bacterium. RNAcentral's name for it is "bacterial SSU rRNA". It matches the Rfam family "Bacterial small subunit ribosomal RNA", at positions 61 to 735 of the family's 1533-position model. The record is from RNAcentral. Lineage: Bacteria; Bacillati; Bacillota; Clostridia; Lachnospirales; Lachnospiraceae.